GGCCUAAGCAACAAAUUCCAGUGGAACAGAAGUCCAAACCAGAGCAACAGAGUCCAGUCCCCCUGAUCUCUCUCUGGCACGACAAAUGAUGGAGGAAGAUCAGUGCACAGCAAACACGGCUAAAUGGGUCGCAGCCUUGCUCCCGGCGUGUGCACUCGGAACACUUCAGGGCUAAAUCGUGUCCUUUUUGUCCUUGGAUCAUUUGUACAGAUCAAUGAGUGUGUGUACAAGUGAUUUACAAGCCAUGCAGACUCCCGAGUCGAGCACGGAGCUGACAGCCAUGCCAGCGCAUUUACAUUUAAAUGUAUUCAUUUGGCAGACUCUUUCAUCCAAACUGACGCAGUGUGCAAUCCAAUCCCUGUGGGAAACACACUUUAGACUGCCAACACGCUGCUGUGUCAUAUCUAUACACACCCAUUAUUUAUUUCAAAAUGUAUAUGAGAUAAAAAUCCAAUGUGUGGAUUAAAAACAAA
This is a long non-coding RNA of Tachysurus fulvidraco (yellow catfish), 473 nucleotides long. RefSeq lists it as uncharacterized. The record is from RefSeq and is a predicted model, not a curated record. Lineage: Eukaryota; Metazoa; Chordata; Actinopteri; Siluriformes; Bagridae. The transcript has 3 exons.